Molecule: ribosomal RNA, 373 nt
Filed under: uncultured organism
Description: partial 16S ribosomal RNA
Rfam family: Bacterial small subunit ribosomal RNA
Source: RNAcentral
GUAGGUGGCAAGCGUUGUCCGGAAUUAUUGGGCGUAAAGCGCGCGCAGGCGGUUCUUUAAGUCUGAUGUGAAAGCCCACGGCUCAACCGUGGAGGGUCAUUGGAAACUGGAGAACUUGAGUACAGAAGAGGAAAGCGGAAUUCCACGUGUAGCGGUGUAAUGCGUAGAGAUGUGGAGGAACACCAGUGGCGAAGGCGGCUUUCUGGUCUGUAACUGACGCUGAGGCGCGAAAGCGUGGGGAGCAAACAGGGAUUAGAUACCCUGGUAGUCCACGCCGUAAACGAUGAGUGCUAAGUGUUAGGGGGUUUCCGCCCCCUUAGUGCUGCAGCCAACGCAUUAAGCACUCCGCCUGGGGAGUACGGCCGCAAGGCUG